This 28-nucleotide non-coding RNA is filed under the name Mus musculus (house mouse). Lineage: Eukaryota; Metazoa; Chordata; Mammalia; Rodentia; Muridae. The record is from RNAcentral.
UNGCAGUUUUGUAUGGAAUUGGGACGUG